AAAUCAGUAGGGCUAACUGAUUUUAAGUUCUUGGAGUUUCACAUACUGAUUUUUGUAGCAUUUUAGUCUGUCAAAUGUGGCUGUUUACAUACAGUAGCUGCUGGCAUUAGGGAUUUGUGCAAUGAAACUGUUCAGAUUUUAAAACUGUAAGAUCUGAUAUAGUUCUUGCAUUUUUCUGUUGUAGGACAUCUGCCUCAUGGUUUUGCCAUGUUGUGUGUUCUGAGAUGCUUUUCUGCUCAACGUGGUUGUAAAAAGUGGUUAUUUGAGUAACCGCAGUCUUCCUGUCAGCUCAGACCAGUUUGGCUAUUCUCUUCUGAGCUCUCUCACUAACAAGUGUAAAAGAGGUGAAGGACCAAAAAAAUAAUCCACACAAAGAGAAUCAAUACGUUCUUCUCUUGUCAAAGGUUAUGGUGGAUCUGGAGCCUAUCCCAGAACACCGGAACACACCCUGAGCAGGAUGCUGGUCAGACCACACACGUGCUCAAACACACCUAUUCCGGCAUGUUUUCGGAAAGUAGGAGGAAACGGGAGAACUCAGAGGAAAUCCACGCGACACAGAGAGAACAUGCCACAGUGACCCAGGCAGCCUGGAGCUGUGAGACAGCAGCACUACCACCAUGCCACCCUUCCACAGUGACACCAGUCCUAAAUAAAGAUUUUGAUUAAUGCUAAUACAAUAAAAUGCAUUAUUUAAAUAGAUUAUAAUCCUAGACAUAAUAAAAUAUGAUCAUUAUGAACUGUAAAGUUGGAAGUCACUCAUUAGAUUGGUGUGUGCGGAAGGUAGCUCAUGUUUUGGAAAUUUUAUUCAGAAAAAAAACAAAGAACAACAUCCUGUUGUAUAUCAGUAUAUCAAGGAAAUACACUAACUGGGGGGAAAAAUAAAGAUCGAAAUCACUUCCUGGAGGAAGUUUCAUCAUUCUGAAGUGUGUUUGGAUUGUAAAAGAUACAAAACGGUGCAAUAAAC
Ictalurus punctatus (channel catfish) is the source of this 964-nucleotide long non-coding RNA. The record is from Ensembl. Lineage: Eukaryota; Metazoa; Chordata; Actinopteri; Siluriformes; Ictaluridae.